Molecule: long non-coding RNA, 420 nt
Organism: Aphis gossypii (cotton aphid)
Lineage: Eukaryota; Metazoa; Arthropoda; Insecta; Hemiptera; Aphididae
Exons: 3
Source: RefSeq, a predicted model, not a curated record
UACCAUAUCUAGCGGAGAGGAUAACCCCACCAGGAUCAAAAAUAAAAAAACUUGUCGCUAAUUUACAAUAUAAAAAUAAUUAUGUUGUACAUUACAUGGCAUUAAUACAGGCCAUAAAAGCUGGGUUAAUUUUGAAAAAGGUUCAUAGAGUUUUAAAAUUUAACCAAUCACCUUGGCUUGCCAAGUAUAUCGAAUUGAACACUAAUAUGAGGAAAAAUGCAGAAAAUGAUUUUGAAAAAGUUCUUCAAAUUAAUGAAUAAUGCAGUAUUUGGAAAAACAAUGGAGAAUGUUAGGAACCGAAUAAACAUGAAGUUAGUGUCAGACGAUAAAAAGUGUGCCAAGUUGAUUAAUAAAAUUACAUUUAAAAAUAUCACAAUAUAUAACAACAACCUUGCAGCAGUACAUUUGAAUAACGAUGAA